This 127-nucleotide ribosomal RNA is filed under the name Notechis scutatus (mainland tiger snake). The record is from RNAcentral. Lineage: Eukaryota; Metazoa; Chordata; Lepidosauria; Squamata; Elapidae.
UUUGAUUUACUCCCGAAAACCCUUCAGCAGAUGAAAAUGCCUAGUUGACCAUGUGAAGCUAAGCAGAAUCAGGCCUGGUUGAUACUUGGAUGGGAGACUGGCAGGAAAUACCAGGCCUAUUCCAAGU